RNAcentral lists this transfer RNA (73 nucleotides) under Harpegnathos saltator (Jerdon's jumping ant). It matches the Rfam family "tRNA". From Rfam's summary of the family: Transfer RNA (tRNA) molecules are approximately 80 nucleotides in length. The record is from Rfam by way of RNAcentral. Lineage: Eukaryota; Metazoa; Arthropoda; Insecta; Hymenoptera; Formicidae.
GGUCUGGUAGUCUGGUUGGUAGAACGAUCGUCUAGAAAGCGAAAGGCCUCGGGUUCGAUCCCCGGCCCAACAA